Molecule: long non-coding RNA, 569 nt
Organism: Mustela erminea (ermine)
Lineage: Eukaryota; Metazoa; Chordata; Mammalia; Carnivora; Mustelidae
Exons: 3
Source: RefSeq, a predicted model, not a curated record
GCAACCGGGAGCGUCUGGCGCACAGGCGACCGCAGUGCGCGGGAGCGCGGGAAACCAGGGCUGCGCGCGCUGAGGGGAGCGCAGAGAGAGGCAACCCCAGCCAGACUGCGUGCCCCGUUCAGUACGCCGAUGGAACAGUCGAGGCUGAGGGAAAAGAUUUGGGAGUAUUUCAUCCCAUUACGAUAGGACCCUCCCCUAAAGGACUUUACAGCCUAAGAGACCGGCCAGACACAAAGGACAGAAGCAAAACUCCAUGGCAAAGGAGUCCAGGGCAGCAGGUCGGGGAGAGAGGCCCCUGGUUCAAACGUAGGCUUCACGUUGGAAAAAACAGGGAGGCUCUCCUGUGCGGGGUAGGAUGUUCAGCGGCAUCCCUGGAAUCUACCCACUCGGUUCCAUCCACUCCCACCACCUCUACCACCUGUUGUGACGACCAGAAUUGUCUCCAGUCACUGCCAGAGGUCCCUGGAAGGAAAAUCGUUCCCCCACCCCUGCCCCGUUGAGAACCGCUGUUGUGGAACAAUGAUGCUCCGAGGUCAUGAUGUCAGAGUCCUGGGAUCGAGCCCCCCAUC